This 78-nucleotide transfer RNA is filed under the name Ilumatobacter sp. RNAcentral describes it as "tRNA-Pro". It matches the Rfam family "tRNA". Rfam says of the family: Transfer RNA (tRNA) molecules are approximately 80 nucleotides in length. Their secondary structure includes four short double-helical elements and three loops (D, anti-codon, and T loops). Further hydrogen bonds mediate the characteristic L-shaped molecular structure. tRNAs have two regions of fundamental functional importance: the anti-codon, which is responsible for specific mRNA codon recognition, and the 3' end, to which the tRNAs corresponding amino acid is attached (by aminoacyl-tRNA synthetases). tRNAs cope with the degeneracy of the genetic code in two manners: having more than one tRNA (with a specific anti-codon) for a particular amino acid; and 'wobble' base-pairing, i.e. permitting non-standard base-pairing at the 3rd anti-codon position. The record is from RNAcentral. RNAcentral also lists the same sequence under 5 other names. Lineage: Bacteria; Bacillati; Actinomycetota; Acidimicrobiia; Acidimicrobiales; Ilumatobacteraceae.
CGGGCUGUGGCGCAGCUUGGUUAGCGCGCUUGUCUGGGGGACAAGAGGUCCCGAGUUCGAAUCUCGGCAGCCCGACCA